UUCCGGUUGAUCCCGCCGGAGGCUACUGCUAUUGGAGUUCGAUUAAGCCAUGCGAGUCUAAGGGACCUCGGUCCCUGGCAUAAUGCUCAGUAACAAGUGGAUAAUCUGCCCUCAGGUGAGGAAUAAACCCGGGAAACUGGGGCUAAUACCUCAUAGACGCAAGAAGCUGGAAUGCUCCUGUGUUCAAAGCUCCGGCGCCUGAGGAUGAGUCUGCUUCCUAUCAGGUUGUAGUCAGGGUCAAGACCUGACUAGCCAGCGACGGGUACGGGGUGUGAGAGCACUUGCCCGGAGAUGGUUUCUGAGACACGAAACCAGGCCCUACGGGGCGCAGCAGGCGCGAAAACUUCGCAAUGCGGGAAACCGUGACGAGGGAACUCCAAGUGUCUAUGCAAUGCAUAGACUGUUUUUCAGCCUAAACAGCUGUUAGAGUAAGAGGUGGGCAAGACCGGUGCCAGCCGCCGCGGUAACACCGGCACCUCGAGUGGUAGCCACUAUUAUUGGGCCUAAAGCGUUCGUAGCCGGUUUGGUAAAUUCUUGGGUAAAUCGUACAGCUUAACUGUGCGGAUUCCGGGGACACUACCAGACUUGAGACCGGGGGAGAUCAGAGGUACUUGUGGGGGAGCGGUGAAAUGUUGUAAUCCUACAGGGACCACCAGUGGCGAAGGCGUCUGAUCAUAACGGCUUUGACGGUGAGGAACGAAACCCUGGGGCGCAAACGGGAUUAGAUACCCCGGUAGUCCAGGGCGUAAACGCUGCUGACUUGGUGUUGGAGAUCCUACGAGGGUGUCCAGUGCUGGCGCGAAGGUAUUUAGUCAGCCGCCUGGGGAGUACGGUCGCAAGACUGAAACUUAAAGGAAUUGGCGGGGGAGCACUGCAACGUGUGGAGCGUGCGGUUUAAUUGGAUUCAACGCCGGA
This 915-nucleotide ribosomal RNA is filed under the name uncultured archaeon. Its description in RNAcentral is "bacterial SSU rRNA". It matches the Rfam family "Archaeal small subunit ribosomal RNA", at positions 1 to 922 of the family's 1478-position model. The record is from RNAcentral.